RNA transcript from Microtus ochrogaster (prairie vole), 5379 nucleotides. It is a transcript of the gene named regulator of G protein signaling 22, with no coding region annotated. Lineage: Eukaryota; Metazoa; Chordata; Mammalia; Rodentia; Cricetidae. The transcript is spliced from 27 exons. The record is from RefSeq and is a predicted model, not a curated record.
GGCAGGGCCGCAGGGCGCCCGUCGCUCCCAGACAGCGGGACUGGGCAGCUGGCGCCCCGACGGCAUGCCGGAGAAGCGGCUCUCGGCCGACCCGCCAAAUAUUACAGAAGAAGAAUUUGAAAAUUUUUUGGCAACAGAUGGCUUCCUUGUGGAUUACUUUAAUGAGUUCUUAAGCCUUCCCACCUUCUCAGAGGCAAUUAGGUUCAAUGUGGACUACGGAGUUUUUGAGGUGAUCAACAAUGCACCACAGCUUCUGGAAAAGCAACUGAAAAGAAUUCUGCAAAAUCAGCAACCUCGAAAUCCCAUCUAUGAUGUUAUAAGGAAAGGAAAAAGUGAUGCUAAACCUUUUCAAAAGAGUAUCUCCCGUGAAGAUGAGACCAUUAACAUCAACUACACCAUCAUGUGCCUCAACCGUGAACAAGGUAUUAAGUGGAUCAAAAGGAAGAGACUUCCAGCAUUUCUGGAAAGUGAUUGCUACUUUGAAUACAGGUUAGCCAAACUGAUAUCGCAAGCAACAUGGAGCAAUUCAGGCAUAAACUUCAUAGUGGGUUCAAGCUUCUCCCCCUGGAUCCUGAGAAAACCGCCCACUCCACCUCCACCUACUGAUGAAGAGGACAACCUCAUGAUUAUGAAAAAGUUCUAUGUUUCUCUUGGCCAGGCCUCCUAUACUCAAACGCAAGAUUGGUUUACACUGGCAAAGCAAUGUCAGCAAACAGUAACGACCUUUUCGCUACCCUGCUGUGUACCCCACCACAAAACUGCAUCACCAACUCUUUCUUCUGUGUCUGAGAAUUUAAUCUUCGAUGAUGGAGUUCACCCCAGGACAAUAAAGAGCCCAACUAAAACCACCGGAAUGAUUCCUGAGAUGGAAGAGGAAGAAGAAGGGUCCGUAUCAGUGAAAGACACGCCUUCCCAAGCGCUUCUGAGAGUAUACCUGGAAAGAAAAGAUGAACAGGACAAACAAAAGACCGUGCAUUUCUCGUCAUUUGAAGAAUUUCUCAACGCCUAUGUCAUCUUCAUCCUGAGAGAAGCCAUCGAGAACAUCACAGGCCAUUCCUUUAGCGGCAUCCCCGGCUACAUCAACUUCUACAGCAUCACCCAGGUGAUAUUCGAUAAAGUGGAGCCCAGCAAGAAGACCGUAAGUUCACCCCAACUUGAAACAACAAAGGAAAUCUCAGAAGAGAAAUUGGAAAAAGUAAGUUUAAGUUCAAAGAGUGAGAGCAUCGGGCCAGAGGGCAGGGCCGACUGGUGUAUUUCUCACAGAACCUAUGACAUUGGCAACAGAAGGGAAUUUGAAAGAUUUAAGAAGUUUCUAAAGGGAACAUUGGGAGAAAGAUACUGGUGGCUGUGGAUGGACAUUGAGAGGUUAAAAGUUCUUAAGGACCCUGGAAGACAUCAAAGACAUCUUGAGAAAAUGAAGAAGUGCUACCUUGUGAGCAGCGGGGAGCGUUACCUUUCUACAGAGAUCCUCUCCAAGUUUAAACUGCUCAAUGGGUCCCGGUGGACAGAAGAACAUUUGAAAAACAUUCAGAUUGAAGUCAUAAAACCCCUGCUUCUGUACUGGGGACCAAGAUUUUGUGUAACUCAUUCGUUAUCAACAAAAAGUGCCAGCACGGAACUGAAAUUCUGGCGCCUUCGCCAAGAGAAACCCAGGAAGGAUGUUGACCCUUUCCCACAGAUGGCAACCCUCUUGCCCUUAAGACCAAAGUCUUGCAUUCCCCAGGUCCCCGAGGUCCAGGGAGAAGAAAUCAGUUUAUCGCCACUAUCUAAAUCGCCUAAGAAAUUGUCAAGAGUAAGCACGGGGUCUCAGAAGCCUGGGAGGAGCGAGUCCUUGCACCCCGUUCCUUCCAAGGACGACAGGCUUGAGAAAGAGUCCAAGUGUGUCUCAGAGGGCAGCACGGUUGUUCGUUUGACAUCUUUUACUGACAUCUCUGAGUGUCUGAAGCCCCAGCUUGACAGAAAGUACACUUAUACAGAAGAGCUCAAUGUUAAAACUACAUCCGAUGUUGGAGCCUUGGGAGGAUUUGACAUGGAAAACUUGUUACAGUCUUUGUAUGUUGAAAACAGAGCUGGAUUCUUCUUCACUAAAUUUUGCGAAGAUUCAGGGAACAAGCUGUGGAAGCACAGUGUGUACUUUUGGUUUGACCUACAGGCUUAUCAUCAGCUGUUCUACCAAGACACACUUCAGCCUUUCAAAGUGUGCAAGCAAGCCCAAUAUCUUUUCGCCACUUACAUUGCUCCAUCAGCCACUCUCGACAUUGGGCUGCAACAGGAAGAGAAGAAAGACAUUUACACGAGAAUCCAGCCACCGUUUGAGGACCUCUUUGAUACGGCCGAGGAGUACAUCCUCCUCGUCCUUCUGGAGCCCUGGACACAGAUGGUGAUGUCAGACCAAGUGGCUUACAGAAAGGUGACACUACAAAAAGAGACUCGGCAGCUAGAUUCCGCCUACUUCAGGAAGCUGCAUGCUCUGCAUAAGGAGACAAUCUCCAAGAAGGCCGAGGACACUGCUGGACCUGCGGCUGGCAAGCUGUCACUGUCUGACGUCUCUAAACAAACAGAGUACUGGAGCAACGUCCCUGAGGAAUACCAGCAUUUCACCUUCAGUGAUCUGCUCAACAACAAACUGGAAUUCGAACAUUUCCGCCAGUUUCUAGAAUCUCAUUCUUCAAGCAUCGACCUUGCGUGUUGGACAGACAUCGAACAGUUCCGAAGAAUGCUUUUUAAGGACCAGAAGCAAAGGGAGGCAAAGUCUAUAGACAUUAAAAACAAAUACCUUAAUAAGAAGUAUUUCUUUGGCCCCAGCAGCCCAGCUUCUUUGCAUCAGCAGGACCAGAUAAUGCUCAUGAGUGGCGGCUGGGGGAGGAUCCUUCACGAGCAGCUUGACCCAUCUGUGCUGGUGGAAAUCCAGAAACAUGUCUUGAACAGGCUGGAAAAUGUGUGGCUGCCACUGUUCCUCUCAAGCGAACAGUUUGCAUCCCGUCAGAAGAUAAAGAUACGGAUGAAAGACAUAGCGGAUGAGCUUUUACUGCAGAGGCAUGACAGGAAAAUUGGAGUGUGGAAGCCUGUGGCAAGUAAGUGGAUAUCUUCAUCCUGUGAGAUUAUUGCUUUCCGUAAAGCAUUAUUGAAUCCAGUCAUUGCAAGGCAAUUUCAACGAUUUGUGGCCCUGAAAGGAGAUUUAUUGGAAAAUGGAGUACUUUUUUGGCAAGAAGUACAAAAGUUUAAGGAUUUGUGCCAUUCGCAUUGUAGUGAGUCCAUCAUUCAGAAGAAGAUCACGACCAUCAUCAACUGCUUCAUCAACUCCUGUAUCCCCCCAGCUCUGCAGAUUGAUAUUCCAGUCGAGCAGGCCCAGAAGAUAAUUGAACACAGGAAGGAAAUGGGACUGUACGUGUUCCGAGAGGCACAGAUGACAAUUUUUGGGGUUCUGUUUAAGUAUUGGCCACAGUUUUGUGAGUUUAGGAAGAAUUUAACAGAUGAAAAAAUUAUGAGUGUUUUAGAGAGAAGACAAGAACAUAAACAGAAAAAGAAAAUGUCAGAGUCAGAUGAAGACAAGAUCGGAAAGGCUGGACUCAAGCAGUAUGCAAGUACUACAGGCUCUCUAACCAAAGCACCUUUACCCAGCGAGUCCCUGCUGGGCCUGCAAGCCUAUGGCCGGCAGCCAACCUGGUGCUAUUCAAAGUACAUAGAAGCCUUGGAACAAGAGCGGAUUCUUCUGAAAAUUCAAGAAGAAAUGGAAAAGAAAAUGUUCACAGGUACAUCAUCUUUCACAAACUUGUUUAAGCUUCCCACUGGUUCCACUAUGUCUCUGAAGAAGAACUUGUCUCUCCUCAGCGUCCAGAGUCAGUUCCCAGUGAUCGUCUCUCCUCAGCUCCUGCUCUCUUUCUGCUUCCCUAACCGUCCAGAACCAGAGGCACUGCCUCUCCCAUGCUCAGUCUCUCUGUGUCUCUAGGGUUUCUCCUCUGCAGAGGAGGAGCCUCCACAACCCAUACCGAACACUUCUGUUUUCCAGGGUAGCAAUGUUCAAGCUCACGUUCACAUCCUGCUGCUGAGAGGUGCGAGGGUUUCUUUAAGCCAACUUUAACUAACACUGAAUGUCCACGAAGCUGAAUAUCCAAGGUUUUGGGUAGUCUGCAUGACUAUAGAAUACUAUCUGCUAUCUAGACUAGAAGAAUUAAAAUCGUUUGCCUAUCAUAGGCCUUAAGGAAAAAGCAGCAUUAUGCCCCUUGUGCAAUCUUUCAACAAAUGUUCCUUGCAGGCUCCUCUAGUUAGCAGAUGUGCUCACUGGGUGCCAGGGGUGUGACUGUUCCUAGCAUAAUUAACCCAGCGAAAGAAGAGCCUCCCCCUCCUUUCCCAUCUGGGAGGAGACUGUGUGGAAGCGGUGGUUUUUACAGCGCAGUGUGCACAAGACUCACAUGACAUAGGCUAGCAUUUCGGGCUCCAGGGGCUGCUCCCUGCAAACUCAUGGGAGACACUCAUGGGAGACACUCUGGAACUGCUAUCUUUACCAGAUAACACAGUGCCCCUAAGUCCUCUCGUGGCCAUGGACUGGCCACUCUUUCACCAAGCUCCUGUGGUUUCUGCCCUUCUACUGCUUUUCCUUCAGUUGAGAUUUUGUUGGUUUGUUUGUUUUCCUGUGGUUCAUUUCUCUGUCCCCUCAACAUGUUAAUUAUAAUUCUUUUGAAAGUUCUGUUUUUCCCAGAGUCUUUGAUGUUCAUUAAAGCAAUGAAAGCCCACUUUCUGAGCAGACUUCCUAGGUAGUACAAAUACUGUAGGAUAUGAAGAAAAUUAAGAUAAAAAAUUAAAUCCAUACUCCUUAUUUUCACUUACUUCUUCCCUGAUGUUUCAUUCUUUCUAUAUGCAGAUAGAGUUUCUAGCCUAUAGUUUUUCUUCUCUUAAAAGAAGUUAUUUUGACAUUUCUUGCAAAGCAGCUCUAUUUGAGACCUAGAGAAACUUUCAUUUCUCUUUCCCUUUUGACAGAAACUUUACAGGAUACAAAAGUAUAGGCUGGUAGGUUUUUUAUUCGUUCAGUACCUAAAAUAUAUCACUUCUCUUUCUUCUUUUGUAAUUUUUCUGAAGAAAAGUUGGAUGUUAUCCUUGCCCCUCUGUGGAGAAGUUGCUCUGUCCUCCUCCUUGCUUCAAGAUCUCUGUGCCAGGGCCUGAGGAGCCCACUCAGGUUAAGAGCAUAUACCCAGCUGCACAUCCGUCCUAGGUGCUGGUCUCUAAGCCUCUUGUGUCUGUAGCUUGGCAUCUGUCACUAGUUUUUUGGAAAGAUUUGCUGUUAUCACUGUCCAACGUUGCUUCCAUUCCUGUCUCUGCUUUCUGCCCUUCCCAUCCCACGCACAGCCGCCUCCUCUCCAGUCCUCCUCCUCCUCCUCCUCC